RNAcentral lists this ribosomal RNA (464 nucleotides) under Vreelandella stevensii. RNAcentral describes it as "partial 16S ribosomal RNA". It matches the Rfam family "Bacterial small subunit ribosomal RNA", at positions 338 to 795 of the family's 1533-position model. The record is from RNAcentral. Lineage: Bacteria; Pseudomonadati; Pseudomonadota; Gammaproteobacteria; Oceanospirillales; Halomonadaceae.
CCUACGGGUGGCUGCAGUGGGGAAUAUUGGACAAUGGGCGAAAGCCAGAUCCAGCCAUGCCGCGUGUGUGAAGAAGGCCUUCGGGUUGUAAAGCACUUUCAGUGGGGAAGAAAGCCUUGGGGCUAAUACCCUCGAGGAAGGACAUCACCCACAGAAGAAGCACCGGCUAACUCCGUGCCAGCAGCCGCGGUAAUACGGAGGGUGCGAGCGUUAAUCGGAAUUACUGGGCGUAAAGCGCGCGUAGGCGGUCUGAUAAGCCGGUUGUGAAAGCCCCGGGCUCAACCUGGGAACGGCAUCCGGAACUGUCAGGCUAGAGUGCAGGAGAGGAAGGUAGAAUUCCCGGUGUAGCGGUGAAAUGCGUAGAGAUCGGGAGGAAUACCAGUGGCGAAGGCGGCCUUCUGGACUGACACUGACGCUGAGGUGCGAAAGCGUGGGUAGCAAACAGGAUUAGAUACCUAGUAGUC